RNAcentral lists this long non-coding RNA (1278 nucleotides) under Gouania willdenowi (blunt-snouted clingfish). RNAcentral's name for it is "lncRNA (ENSGWIG00000017476.1)". Lineage: Eukaryota; Metazoa; Chordata; Actinopteri; Blenniiformes; Gobiesocidae. The record is from RNAcentral.
CAUCAAUCUCUAGAAGAACCAAACCUCAGCACCAACCUGUUCAUCAUGAUGAUCAGAAUCCUCUGCCUGAGCGUCCUUGUGCUGCUUUUCUGCACAGACAUUGAAGCUAAAAAAGAAAAGACCGAAAAGUUCAAAAAGUUCAAGUGUUUCACUUGUACAGAGAAAUACUGCAAAAAACAACAGUAUUGUAGUGAAGGACAGGUCUGCAUGAGCGCCUCUGUUAUCGAAGUCACACAUGGACAUCAGAAUAAAUCCUACUACAGGUCCUGUACGUCACCUUCAUACUGUCCAAAGAGUGAAAAAACAGAGACCAUGUCCAUCGGCUUGGGUUAUCAGGUGUUUGUGGCGACCGUUAAGUGCUGCAAGUCCCAUCUCUGCAACAAAAAACCUCAACCCCGUAAGACCUUUGAAACACAAUCAAACUAAUGCUGCUCCAUACUCUGUGGGUAGUUUACACUGGUGUGUUAUGCUGUUCUUUUCAGACCCUAAGAUACCAUCAGGAAAUGGGUUGACGUGCCUUUUCUGCAGCAACACUAUAAACCCAAAGGAAUGCAAAGUCAAGGAAUGCAUUGGAAAUCAAACUCACUGCGUGCGAGCAAUCAGAAAUGGAACUCAUCAGAGUGGGUGUGCAACUAAAAACUUCUGUCACCCCAACAAGCCUGUUAAAGGCUUCGCUGGUGCCCUCAGUUUUCCAGCUGUGUGUGAGAAAGCAAAACCUGCACCUGAACCAACAACUGCUGAACCAACAAUUGCUGAACCAACAACUGCUGAACCAACAACUGCUGAACCAAAGUGUGUUCCAGUUGAAACCACUCCUGAACCAACCCUUCCACCCUGUGAUAGAAAGGGAUAACUACUCCCACCACGUAAAACCAGUUUCUUUGUCUUGCUGACAAAACCAUUAAAAGGUUGAUUAAAGUCUGGGUGAAUCUUUAGUGGAUCCUACAUCAAACAUAGAGAUCUUAACAAACUUAUCAGACCACCACCCACUGUGAGCUUAAAUCACAGCAUUGGUAAAUAUCUUUGUUUCUGUCAUUUGGCUAAUCUCCUAAACAAAAAAAAUAGUCGGUGGUUGAAUACAUUUGUUAACCAACUCAUGUGAUGUUUUGCUUUUAGUGAUGUUAUUAGAUGAUGAAUUAAUGAAGAUCAAAGCUUCUUUCAAAGGAGCUUUGAUGACUUCUAACUUCUAAAUGUGACUCUUUUAGUAAAGGUAGCAGGGCUGAGUUUCUAAUGCUUUCUUAAAAUGCUUUCUGCAUGGGAACAAUCAUUAAAGAGGUG